GUAAAAGUGAAAAACCCUUAAAAUAUUAAAGAAGUAAUAUUAAAUGAAUGCAUUUAGUAACUAGAUGAUGCAUACAACAUGUACGCAAGUUCAAGGGAUGUUUGUUUUUCCGAGGACGUCAGUCUGAAGGCUCUUACGUGGCUGAACGAGAACACUGGGCCGUCAGGUGGUCUUUUCACGUGUUGAUCGACAAACGACUGUGGGUGAGGAGCGCUGGAAGGUAGAGUCGACGUCUGCGCCGCUCUGAGCACCGUGGGAAGCAGCAGGGGCGGACUUGCCCAGGGGCCGGCCGGCCUCAUCACACCCGCGGCCACAGCCGGGAGCCAACCCCGGAUGACCUGCCGCCCGCCUGGUAACCACCGCUUCACAGAGUCCUGAGCUGCUGCAGCACUGCUCUGGUUUGCUGCCUCUGCUCAUCGUUGAAAGAGGUGCUGGGUUUCAGUUAGCAGUUCGUUAGCAAUGAUGUGACUUCCCCCAUCUCGACACCGUGCUUGAGAACACCUGCUUUAGACGCAACUUCCUGUUUACAGGCGAUGCUGGGGAGAGAGGAAACGGCUAAGUGACACUCCAAGGAGUCAAUCUGACAAGUCCGAGCUGGGGGCCUUCUACACCGAUCCGCCAUCUUCAGACUGUCUCGGAAAGAAAAUUCAGAGGCGAGUGGGGAUGUUCCGCUCCAACAGGACCAAGGGGACCUGGCACCGAGGGGGACGUGGGCCUUGACUGGACAAUGAUUCCAAAAAUCAGCUCCAUAUGACACAUUGGGACAACUGGGGAAACCUGCGGGUGCCUUAGCACUAAUCAAGGCCGCGGCCCCACGCUCUGCCGGCAGACACUGGUCUGCACAGCCCGUGCACUCGCAGUGCUUCACGGAGCAGCAAACGACAGCCUGUUAACCCCGGGCCCUCGAGGACACGUGCAGCUCACGCUCACGCAGGGCGCGGUCCCGCCACCGAGGCCCAGGCGUCUGGAAAGCACCCGAGCGCGGCCGUGAGCCGAGAGGCGCUGCUUUCACGCAGCACUGGUUUCCUUGGACGAACAACUGGGCAUUCAGACUUGGGCGCUGGGGAGACAUUUUCUGAAAAACGAAUCAUGAACCCGUCACUUCAGGGAAAAAAAUCGACAGUUUUUGUUGAUGACAUGAUUCAAACUUUCAAGCAAAAAUUUUCUCAAAACCCAGAAAGCUUGGAUUGACCACCAUGAGCUUGACAGCCUCCAAACCUUCAGGACUGUCCUGAGGAGAGAGGUGGAGGGGCGGAUGGAGGUGGUAUUUCGAUCGUAUAUUGCUCGGAGCCGUCACCCUACAAGUUAAGCCUCUGCCUUGUGACACGGUCAGGGAGAGAGAUGAGGGGACGCACGGCGACCCUCAAGGGAUUCUACCAGGCUGCCCCUGCAACGAGUCUCCCUGGUACUUCUGACUUUUCUGCUUCUGCUCACUCUGUUCUACACCUGGGGUUAUUUCAGGGGAAGUCAGCCCGGCCCUGGGAAUGAGAAUGAUACAAUGCAAUAUUCUAGGGAAAGUUCUGGGGAAAAACAUCUUCUAGGGAAAGAACAUUCUGACCCAUCCUUUGGUCGGGUGAAGCGAUGGGAGUGGAGAGGGAACAAAGAAAUCUGUAGCCCCGACAGAUCUCUUGAGGAGGACGGUGGUUGCCACGGCCCAUUGAGUCAGGAGGCCGCUGGGGGUAGCCUCCUUGAAGUAAAGAAUUACAGAAGCUUGACUCCCCCCGGGGCCUACACACAAUCAAUUACUCUUAGGACUAUUGUCUACCUUGCAAAAACCCAUUUACGCGAGCCAAAAAUAUGUACUGGGACUGUUUCACGAAAUCAUCCUUGCAUAUCCUGAGCCCUAUAUAAAUCAUACAUACACAAAAUAAAGUUAGACUUGGACACCAAACUCCUUGUCUCACUGCCUCCUCCUUUGCCGACGCCGUCCAUCCCUCAGGAGACCCUGUCCGGCUGGGGCUGGACCCCGGCAGUAUAUAAUGAAUGUGUCAACACUGGGAGGGUCUGAGGAACUCGGUGAACCCGUUUUCCAAACGGCCCACGCGCGGCCGUGCCUGGCAGAAGAUCCAGUCAAAGACAGACAGACAGUGGACUUCGAUGCAACAGAACGUGACAAGGACAAGUUCAAUGGUAUAGUUUCAGAUUGUACGUUGCAAGGAACCCUCGCUGAGUUCUGGUGUGGUAACAAAGAGGAAAAUCACGAGCCUCUGAAAAGGCUGUCCACAUCCCCCUCCCAUUUCCAACUACGCAUCAGGAGCCGGGUCUCUCCUUACUCUCCAACCAAAGCCCGUUACGGCAGACGGGAC
Equus asinus (donkey) is the source of this 2306-nucleotide long non-coding RNA. NCBI's taxonomy places the organism in Eukaryota, Metazoa, Chordata, Mammalia, Perissodactyla, Equidae. The record is from Ensembl.